GGUUAAGCGACUAAGCGUACACGGUGGAUGCCCUGGCAGUCAGAGGCGAUGAAGGGCGUGCUAAUCUGCGAUAAGCGCCGGUAAGGUGAUAUGAACCGUUAUAACCGGCGAUACCCGAAUGGGGAAACCCAGUGUGAUUCGUCACACUAUCAUUAACUGAAUCCAUAGGUUAAUGAGGCGAACCGGGGGAACUGAAACAUCUAAGUACCCCGAGGAAAAGAAAUCAACCGAGAUUCCCCCAGUAGCGGCGAGCGAACGGGGAGGAGCCCAGAGCCUGAAUCAGCAUGUGUGUUAGUGGAAGCGUCUGGAAAGGCGCGCGAUACAGGGUGACAGCCCCGUACACAAAAGCGCAUGUGCUGUGAGCUCGAUGAGUAGGGCGGGACACGUGGUAUCCUGUCUGAAUAUGGGGGGACCAUCCUCCAAGGCUAAAUACUCCUGACUGACCGAUAGUGAACCAGUACCGUGAGGGAAAGGCGAAAAGAACCCCGGCGAGGGGAGUGAAAAAGAACCUGAAACCGUGUACGUACAAGCAGUGGGAGCACCCUUCGGGGUGUGACUGCGUACCUUUUGUAUAAUGGGUCAGCGACUUAUAUUCUGUAGCAAGGUUAACCGUAUAGGGGAGCCGUAGGGAAACCGAGUCUUAACCGGGCGUUAAGUUGCAGGGUAUAGACCCGAAACCCGGUGAUCUAGCCAUGGGCAGGUUGAAGGUUGGGUAACACUAACUGGAGGACCGAACCGACUAAUGUUGAAAAAUUAGCGGAUGACCUGUGGCUGGGGGUGAAAGGCCAAUCAAACCGGGAGAUAGCUGGUUCUCCCCGAAAGCUAUUUAGGUAGCGCCUCGUGAAUUCAUCUCCGGGGGUAGAGCACUGUUUCGGCUAGGGGGCCAUCCCGGCUUACCAACCCGAUGCAAACUGCGAAUACCGGAGAAUGUUAUCACGGGAGACACACGGCGGGUGCUAACGUCCGUCGUGAAGAGGGAAACAACCCAGACCGCCAGCUAAGGUCCCAAAGUCAUGGUUAAGUGGGAAACGAUGUGGGAAGGCCCAGACAGCCAGGAUGUUGGCUUAGAAGCAGCCAUCAUUUAAAGAAAGCGUAAUAGCUCACUGGUCGAGUCGGCCUGCGCGGAAGAUGUAACGGGGCUAAACCAUGCACCGAAGCUGCGGCAGCGAACGUAUCACUUAAAGCGAUUCAGCGGGUUACGAUUGACGGAGCGAAGCGACGUCAAAGCGUAUACAAAGUCGAGUCGGUUUAAGGAUACGUUCGUUGGGUAGGGGAGCGUUCUGUAAGCCUGUGAAGGUGGCCUGUGAGGGUUGCUGGAGGUAUCAGAAGUGCGAAUGCUGACAUAAGUAACGAUAAAGCGGGUGAAAAGCCCGCUCGCCGGAAGACCAAGGGUUCCUGUCCAACGUUAAUCGGGGCAGGGUGAGUCGACCCCUAAGGCGAGGCCGAAAGGCGUAGUCGAUGGGAAACGGGUUAAUAUUCCCGUACUUGGUGUUACUGCGAAGGGGGGACGGAGAAGGCUAUGUUGGCCGGGCGACGGUUGUCCCGGUUUAAGCGUGUAGGUGUGUGUUCCAGGUAAAUCCGGUUCACUUUAACACUGAGGCGUGAUGACGAGGCACUACGGUGCUGAAGCAACAAAUGCCCUGCUUCCAGGAAAAGCCUCUAAGCAUCAGGUAACAUCAAAUCGUACCCCAAACCGACACAGGUGGUCAGGUAGAGAAUACCAAGGCGCUUGAGAGAACUCGGGUGAAGGAACUAGGCAAAAUGGUGCCGUAACUUCGGGAGAAGGCACGCUGACACGUAGGUGAAGUGAUUUACUCACGGAGCUGAAGUCAGUCGAAGAUACCAGCUGGCUGCAACUGUUUAUUAAAAACACAGCACUGUGCAAACACGAAAGUGGACGUAUACGGUGUGACGCCUGCCCGGUGCCGGAAGGUUAAUUGAUGGGGUCAGCGCAAGCGAAGCUCCUGAUCGAAGCCCCGGUAAACGGCGGCCGUAACUAUAACGGUCCUAAGGUAGCGAAAUUCCUUGUCGGGUAAGUUCCGACCUGCACGAAUGGCGUAAUGAUGGCCAGGCUGUCUCCACCCGAGACUCAGUGAAAUUGAACUCGCUGUGAAGAUGCAGUGUACCCGCGGCAAGACGGAAAGACCCCGUGAACCUUUACUAUAGCUUGACACUGAACAUUGAGCCUUGAUGUGUAGGAUAGGUGGGAGGCUUUGAAGCGUGGACGCCAGUCUGCGUGGAGCCGACCUUGAAAUACCACCCUUUAAUGUUUGAUGUUCUAACGUGGACCCGUAAUCCGGGUUGCGGACAGUGUCUGGUGGGUAGUUUGACUGGGGCGGUCUCCUCCUAAAGAGUAACGGAGGAGCACGAAGGUUGGCUAAUCCUGGUCGGACAUCAGGAGGUUAGUGCAAUGGCAUAAGCCAGCUUGACUGCGAGCGUGACGGCGCGAGCAGGUGCGAAAGCAGGUCAUAGUGAUCCGGUGGUUCUGAAUGGAAGGGCCAUCGCUCAACGGAUAAAAGGUACUCCGGGGAUAACAGGCUGAUACCGCCCAAGAGUUCAUAUCGACGGCGGUGUUUGGCACCUCGAUGUCGGCUCAUCACAUCCUGGGGCUGAAGUAGGUCCCAAGGGUAUGGCUGUUCGCCAUUUAAAGUGGUACGCGAGCUGGGUUUAGAACGUCGUGAGACAGUUCGGUCCCUAUCUGCCGUGGGCGCUGGAGAACUGAGGGGGGCUGCUCCUAGUACGAGAGGACCGGAGUGGACGCAUCACUGGUGUUCGGGUUGUCAUGCCAAUGGCACUGCCCGGUAGCUAAAUGCGGAAGAGAUAAGUGCUGAAAGCAUCUAAGCACGAAACUUGCCCCGAGAUGAGUUCUCCCUGAGACUUAGAGUCUCCUGAAGGAACGUUGAAGACGACGACGUUGAUAGGCCGGGUGUGUAAGCGCAGCGAUGCGUUGAGCUAACCGGUACUAAUGAACCGUGAGGCUUAACCUU
This 2987-nucleotide ribosomal RNA is filed under the name Salmonella enterica subsp. enterica. Its description in RNAcentral is "23S ribosomal RNA". It matches the Rfam family "Bacterial large subunit ribosomal RNA". The record is from RNAcentral. Lineage: Bacteria; Pseudomonadati; Pseudomonadota; Gammaproteobacteria; Enterobacterales; Enterobacteriaceae.